Molecule: long non-coding RNA, 848 nt
Filed under: Homo sapiens (human)
Lineage: Eukaryota; Metazoa; Chordata; Mammalia; Primates; Hominidae
Description: novel transcript
Source: RNAcentral
AGAGGUUUGGGGGAUCAAGUAGUGGUACCUUAGAAUAUUUUGGUAGAAAUAAGGAACAUAAUGGGAUUGGUUAGUUGCUUCCAAGUAAAAUAGAGAACUUAGGGAAAGAAAACAGUGAAGUCGGGGCUUUGAAUUCCCAGCUCAAGGUCUGCAUAAGGGAGCAGAAUGCUUCAAUGAGUACCUUUUUUUCUCCUGUAGACAUAGGGCCAAGAUUUCUGAAAAACAAAUUCAAAGUCUGAUCUUUCUGGUGGCUAGAUUACAAGGCAAAUUGAAUUCAUGUUGAACUUGGUACACUGACUAAGAGUGAGACUCUCUCUAACAAUUAAAAGGGGACAUAUGGACAAAUUCCAGUGAAGCUGGAGACCAUGAAUCUCUAAAUUCUUCAGAGCCCCUUUUGCAGAUGGAAACCCUUUCUCCAAGAUUAAACUUCCUGCACACUUCCGACAACUUGAUUGAACUGGACGCCCUUGGAAGUUCAUGGCAUCGCCUAUAACAGAGUCUGUGUAGGCAAAACCCCAGCCUAUGCUGGAAUUUAACUCUUAAAAAGCAACCUAAGUAGAACACAAGAUUGUAAACUCUAAGGAGAUUCUAACACCAAAAGAAAGUAUGACUUGAGCCAAUGAAAUGCCAAAAUCCAGUUCUAGCUGACAACGUCAGUAGUGGAGGACAGACUUCCACUUGCCAUUUGAGGAAAAAGCAUGUGGAUUCAUGAGCAUAACAGCAGAUACCCCACUACCAAUUACCAAAUCCUGUGCACAUUCCUGUUCUCCAGUCACCUUUUCUCCAUAAAUGUUUGUGGUAUAAAAUGAAAACCUUCCCAAAUAUUAACCAGUCAACCUUUAUUCUCU